UGGGGAAUAUUGCACAAUGGGCGCAAGCCUGAUGCAGCAACGCCGCGUGAACGAUGAAGGUCUUCGGAUCGUAAAGUUCUGUUGCAGGGGAAGAUAAUGACGGUACCCUGUGAGGAAGCCCCGGCUAACUACGUGCCAGCAGCCGCGGUAAUACGUAGGGGGCUAGCGUUAUCCGGAUUUACUGGGCGUAAAGGGUGCGUAGGUGGUCUUUCAAGUCGGUGGUUAAAGGCUACGGCUCAACCGUAGUUAGCCUCCGAAACUGGAAGACUUGAGUGCAGGAGAGGAAAGUGGAAUUCCCAGUGUAGCGGUGAAAUGCGUAGAUAUUGGGAGGAACACCAGUAGCGAAGGCGGCUUUCUGGACUGCAACUGACACUGAGGCACGAAAGCGUGGGUAGCAAACCGG
RNAcentral lists this ribosomal RNA (403 nucleotides) under Verrucomicrobiota bacterium. RNAcentral's name for it is "Verrucomicrobia bacterium partial 16S ribosomal RNA". It matches the Rfam family "Bacterial small subunit ribosomal RNA", at positions 355 to 776 of the family's 1533-position model. The record is from RNAcentral. Lineage: Bacteria; Pseudomonadati; Verrucomicrobiota.